UGGGAUUAGAUACCCCACUAUUCUAAAAUAGUAUACCCACUUUAGGGUAGUAAAAUUACAUAAAAUUUAAACCCAAACAAUAUGGCGGCUGUUUAAACUUAUUAGGGGAACUUACCACAUAAUUGAUAGCCACCAAGUGGUCUUACUUAAAUUUAAAGUUUGUAUAUCGUCGUCGUCAAAGCUGCUUCUAGAGGGGCUUUCGAUAUUUAUUUUAAUAAAAAGACAGAUCAAGGCGCAGCACAUAUUUAAGAGAUAAGGCGAGUUACAAUAACAAUUUUAUUCGGAGAUUUAUUAAAAAUUAUCAUAAGGCGGACUUAAAAGUAAUAAUGAAUAAAAUUAUAUUAUGAAUCAUUAUAUUAGGCAGUGUACACACCGCCCGUCACCCU
RNAcentral lists this ribosomal RNA (386 nucleotides) under Solatopupa psarolena. RNAcentral describes it as "partial 12S ribosomal RNA". The record is from RNAcentral. Lineage: Eukaryota; Metazoa; Mollusca; Gastropoda; Stylommatophora; Chondrinidae.